CCUACGGGAGGCAGCAGUGGGGGAUAUUGCACAAUGGGGGAAACCCUGAUGCAGCGACGCCGCGUGUGGGAAGAAGGUCCUCUGGAUUGUAAACCACUGUCCCCAGGGACGAAGAUGACGCUACCUGGGGAGGAAGCUGCGGCUAAGGACGUACCAGCAGCCGCGGUAAUACGUAGGGAGCGAGCGUUGUCCGGAAUUACUGGGGGUAAAGGGAGCGUAGGCGGGGAUGGAGGUUGGGUGUAAAAACUACCGGCUCAACUGGUAGUCGCACUCACAACUGCAGCUCUUGAGUGAAGUAGAGGCAGGCGGAAUUCGUGGUGUAGCGGUGAAAUGCGUAGAUAUACGGAGGAACCCCAGUGGCGAAGGCAGACUGCUGGACAGUAACUGACGCUGAGGCGCGAAGGCGCGGGGAGCAAACAGGAUUAGAUACCCCUGUAGUC
RNAcentral lists this ribosomal RNA (440 nucleotides) under uncultured bacterium. Its description in RNAcentral is "partial 16S ribosomal RNA". It matches the Rfam family "Bacterial small subunit ribosomal RNA", at positions 338 to 795 of the family's 1533-position model. The record is from RNAcentral.